RNAcentral lists this ribosomal RNA (1327 nucleotides) under Clavibacter michiganensis. RNAcentral describes it as "partial 23S ribosomal RNA". It matches the Rfam family "Bacterial large subunit ribosomal RNA", at positions 1620 to 2925 of the family's 2925-position model. The record is from RNAcentral. Lineage: Bacteria; Bacillati; Actinomycetota; Actinomycetes; Micrococcales; Microbacteriaceae.
UCGACGCGAGGUUCCAAUCGCCCGUACCCCAAACCGACUCAGGUGGUCAGGUAGAGAAUACUAAGGAGAUCGAGAGAAUCGUGGUUAAGGAACUCGGCAAAAUGCCCCCGUAACUUCGGGAGAAGGGGGGCCUGAGGCGUGUAGGGAUUUACUCCUGAAGCGUUUGAAGGCCGCAGAGACCAGUGGGAAGCGACUGUUUACUAAAAACACAGGUCCGUGCUAAGUCGCAAGACGAUGUAUACGGACUGACGCCUGCCCGGUGCUGGAAGGUUAAGAGGAACGGUUAGCACGCAAGUGCGAAGCUGAGAAUUUAAGCCCCAGUAAACGGCGGUGGUAACUAUAACCAUCCUAAGGUAGCGAAAUUCCUUGUCGGGUAAGUUCCGACCUGCACGAAUGGCGUAACGACUUCCCAGCUGUCUCAACCGCGAACUCGGCGAAAUUGCACUACGAGUAAAGAUGCUCGUUACGCGCAGCAGGACGGAAAGACCCCGUGACCUUUACUACAGCUUGGUAUUGGUGUUCGGUGUGGCUUGUGUAGGAUAGGUGGGAGACUGUGAAGCUCGGACGCUAGUUCGGGUGGAGUCAUUGUUGAAAUACCACUCUGGUCACUCUGGAUAUCUAACUUCGAACCGUAAUCCGGUUCAGGGACAGUGCCUGGUGGGUAGUUUAACUGGGGCGGUUGCCUCCUAAAGAGUAACGGAGGCGCCCAAAGGUUCCCUCAACCUGGUUGGUAAUCAGGUGUCGAGUGUAAGUGCACAAGGGAGCUUGACUGUGAGACUGACAAGUCGAGCAGGGACGAAAGUCGGGACUAGUGAUCCGGCAGUGGCUUGUGGAAGCGCUGUCGCUCAACGGAUAAAAGGUACCUCGGGGAUAACAGGCUGAUCUUGCCCAAGAGUCCAUAUCGACGGCAUGGUUUGGCACCUCGAUGUCGGCUCGUCGCAUCCUGGGGCUGGAGUAGGUCCCAAGGGUUGGGCUGUUCGCCCAUUAAAGCGGUACGCGAGCUGGGUUUAGAACGUCGUGAGACAGUUCGGUCCCUAUCCGCUGCGCGCGUAGGAAAUUUGAGAAGAUCUAUCCCUAGUACGAGAGGACCGGGAUGGACGAACCUCUGGUGUGUCAGUUGUUCCGCCAGGAGCACCGCUGAUUAGCUACGUUCGGAACGGAUAACCGCUGAAAGCAUCUAAGCGGGAAGCCGGCUUCGAGAUGAGAUUUCCAUCCCUUUUAGGGUGAAGGCUCCCGGCUAGACUACCGGGUUGAUAGGCAGGAUGUGGAAGCGAGGACUAAAGACUCGUGGAGCUGACCUGUACUAAUAAGCCGAUAUCUUGAAAAC